Molecule: ribosomal RNA, 421 nt
Filed under: uncultured bacterium
Lineage: Bacteria
Description: bacterial SSU rRNA
Rfam family: Bacterial small subunit ribosomal RNA
Source: RNAcentral
UGAGGAAUAUUGGGCAAUGCCCGCAAGGGCGACCCAGCAACGCCGCGUGAAGGAUGAAUGUCGUAAGAUUGUAAACUCCUGUUAGAGGGGAAGAAUAGUACCGGUUGGACCGGUAUAUGACUGUACCCUCAGAGAAAGCCCCGGCUAACUACGUGCCAGCAGCCGCGGUAAUACGUAGGGGGCAAGCGUUGUCCGGAUUUACUGGGUGUAAAGGGCGCGCAGGCGGGAUAAAAAGUCAGUGGUGAAAUCCUACAGCUUAACUGUAGAACUGCCUUUAAUACUUUUAUUCUUGAGUUCGGGAGAGAGAGACGGAAUUCCAGGUGUAGUGGUGAAAUACGUAGAUAUCUGGAAGAACACCAGUUGCGAAGGCGGUCUCUUGGUCCGACACUGACGCUGAGGCGCGAAAGCGUGGGGAGCAAAC